This 110-nucleotide small RNA is filed under the name Virgibacillus necropolis. Its description in RNAcentral is "BsrF". It matches the Rfam family "BsrF". The record is from Rfam by way of RNAcentral. Lineage: Bacteria; Bacillati; Bacillota; Bacilli; Caryophanales; Bacillaceae.
GCGAUGAGCUGAUUUGCAUAAGACGAAAAAUAAGGCAAUACAUGUGAAUGUGAACACAUGAUUUUUCGCCGCAAAUACAGAAAAGACGUCUAUACAUUUGUAUAGGCGUC